RNAcentral lists this ribosomal RNA (494 nucleotides) under uncultured bacterium. RNAcentral's name for it is "partial 16S ribosomal RNA". It matches the Rfam family "Bacterial small subunit ribosomal RNA", at positions 28 to 507 of the family's 1533-position model. The record is from RNAcentral.
GACGAACGCUGGCGGCGUGCUUAACACAUGCAAGUCGAACGGUGAAGCGCCUUCCUUUUUGGUGGGUGUGGAUGAGUGGCGAACGGGUGAGUAACACGUGAGUAACCUGCCCCCUUCUUCUGGAUAACCGCAUGAAAGUGUGGCUAAUACGGGAUAUUUUGGGUCUGUUGCAUGAUGGGUCUGGGAAAGCUUUUGUUUCGGUGGGGGAUGGGCUCGCGGCCUAUCAGCUUGUUGGUGGGGUGAUGGCCUACCAAGGCGGUGACGGGUAGCCGGCCUGAGAGGGUGGACGGUCACACUGGGGCGACGACACGGCGCAGACUCCGACAGGAGGCAGCAGUGAAGAAUAUGGCACAAUGGGCGCAAGCCUGGUGCAGCGACGCCGCGUGAGGGAUGGAGGCCUGCGGGUAGUGAACCUCUUUCGCCAGAGAAGCAGGCCGGCCUCGUUUGUGGGUGGGUUGACGGUAGCUAGAUAAGAAGCGCCGGCUAACUACGUG